GUCUGGUCAAAGGGCAUUCCUUCUUGCUGAGGGCUUUGCAGCAAAAGGGUGGAACCAAGCUGGGGAAGAGACAGAGAUGUUGAGAAGCUGUGCCAAGUCCAUGGUGAAUCUUUCCCUCUUGUAUUGUUCAGGGAUUCAAAUCAUCACUGAAGGUAAAAGCCCUCACAGACAUGAGGACACCAAAGUCCUUCAGAGCAUGGCCAUAGGAAAUGCUCGUCACCAUUUCAACAGCUCUAAAACUGGAUGUUGCAGGUGUCUCACACUGACAGCUGCAAUUUUACUGAUGCUGUGCAGCACAGGAUAUCCACUCUCAUUACGUUUCAAGACACAGGAAAUGCAACUCAGUAUCUGA
RNAcentral lists this long non-coding RNA (352 nucleotides) under Cyanistes caeruleus (blue tit). Its description in RNAcentral is "lncRNA (ENSCCEG00000019418.1)". The record is from RNAcentral. Lineage: Eukaryota; Metazoa; Chordata; Aves; Passeriformes; Paridae.